CGGCGGACGGGUGAGUAAUGCUUAGGAAUCUGCCUAUUAGUGGGGGACAACAUCUCGAAAGGGAUGCUAAUACCGCAUACGUCCUACGGGAGAAAGCAGGGGAUCUUCGGACCUUGCGCUAAUAGAUGAGCCUAAGUCGGAUUAGCUAGUUGGUGGGGUAAAGGCCUACCAAGGCGACGAUCUGUAGCGGGUCUGAGAGGAUGAUCCGCCACACUGGGACUGAGACACGGCCCAGACUCCUACGGGAGGCAGCAGUGGGGAAUAUUGGACAAUGGGGGGAACCCUGAUCCAGCCAUGCCGCGUGUGUGAAGAAGGCCUUAUGGUUGUAAAGCACUUUAAGCGAGGAGGAGGCUACUUUAGUUAAUACCUAGAGAUAGUGGACGUUACUCGCAGAAUAAGCACCGGCUAACUCUGUGCCAGCAGCCGCGGUAAUACAGAGGGUGCGAGCGUUAAUCGGAUUUACUGGGCGUAAAGCGUGCGUAGGCGGCUUAUUAAGUCGGAUGUGAAAUCCCCGAGCUUAACUUGGGAAUUGCAUUCGAUACUGGUGAGCUAGAGUAUGGGAGAGGAUGGUAGAAUUCCAGGUGUAGCGGUGAAAUGCGUAGAGAUCUGGAGGAAUACCGAUGGCGAAGGCAGCCAUCUGGCCUAAUACUGACGCUGAGGUACGAAAGCAUGGGGAGCAAACAGGAUUAGAUACCCUGGUAGUCCAUGCCGUAAACGAUGUCUACUAGCCGUUGGGGCCUUUGAGGCUUUAGUGGCGCAGCUAACGCGAUAAGUAGACCGCCUGGGGAGUACGGUCGCAAGACUAAAACUCAAAUGAAUUG
RNAcentral lists this ribosomal RNA (821 nucleotides) under Acinetobacter baumannii. RNAcentral's name for it is "bacterial SSU rRNA". It matches the Rfam family "Bacterial small subunit ribosomal RNA", at positions 96 to 912 of the family's 1533-position model. Lineage: Bacteria; Pseudomonadati; Pseudomonadota; Gammaproteobacteria; Moraxellales; Moraxellaceae. The record is from RNAcentral.